UUUUUUUUUUUUUUUUUUUUUUUUUUUUUUUUUUUAAUUAUUUAAGACCUUUAUUAACGGGUGCUUGCCGUUUGUUGACUUUUUUGAAAAAAUCAAGUUGUAAACUUUUAUUACAAAUUAAAAAUGAGGUUCUUAAAAAUCUCAACUUGACCAGAUAUGAAACAAUUUAAAAACCUUUAAAGGUGUAUUGAGAAAAACCAGGCUUUUUUUUUUUUUUUAAAAAAACACGUUUAUCAUUACCAAAAAGAGACGUCUUUAGGUAAAAAUAAUAAAAACCCCAUGCUGCAUAGAUAAUGCAGAUAGUUCUAUUUAUCUGGUCAAUGGGCAAAAAGCAAGCACUUAAGGUCUUCAGCUCCAAUCUUUUGUUCAUUUCUUAUUGCUGGAAUUUCAUCUUCAUUUCUUCAUGUUGGAUGACUAAACCGGAUGAUGGUAGAGAUGGUAAGCCGGCAUUUACUCAGCCCCGCCCUGCUCAGCCUCGGGAGCGGACGAAUUCUCAGCUGGUGGAUCGGCUGCUUUUGUCUCUUUGCCAUCUUGUGGUUUAGGGUUUUCUGGGCGUCUGCGUCGGUAAUUGAAGUUGCGGCGGUACCGACGUUGAGGUGGCUGCUGACCUUGGGUCUCAUCUCCUUGAUUUUCCUUAUUUUCCUCAUUUCCAUCCUCUCUAGGCUGUCUUUGGCGAGGAGGACCCCUACGGAAUCGUGGUCUAUAACCUCGAUACAUAUUCUGUCUCACUGGUCUACCUUGUUCUCCUGCACCCUGGUUGUCAGCACCUUCCAUCACUUCUCCCUGCACAGGAGGGUUGGAAUACUGUGGUCGACGCCCGUAGGGUCUCCGCAUGUAGUAAGGUGGGAACCGUCGCCUGCGGUAGGGCCGGCGCUGUUGGGCCUGGCCUUCGGGAGCACUUUCCGAUCCCUCGUUCUUUUCCCCACUCUCACUAUUUCUGGUAAUUCUGCUGGUAAUUGCGUGGAGGACCCCUGCGACGUGGAUAGCGUCUAUAAUGGUUACGGUCUGCUGCAUAUUUACUGCCUUGCACUGGAACUCCACCAGGGCCUGUAACAUUUGCUGCCUCCGCACCCUUUUCUCCUUCAACAACAUCAAACUCCACAGUCUCUCCAUCUCCUACACUGCGAAGGUACUUCCUGGGGUUAUUCUUCUUUAUGGCAGUCUGGUGUACAAAUACAUCUUCCUUGGUGUCAUUUCUGUUGAUGAAACCAUAUCCGUUUCUUACAUUGAACCAUUUUACUGUUCCCCAAAACCUUCGUUGCGAUGACCUUCUUGUCCCCGCCGGCAGGCGCCGCCGAUGUGAGGCCGCCCGGGCCGCCGCUCCCUGCGCCGCUGCCCGUGGUGCCGGGCUUGGUGUCGGCGGCGCUGAGGGCGGGGGCGGCGGGGGGGGCGGCGGGCGGCUGCUGGGUCUCGGCCUCGCUGCUCAUGGUUGCGGUGAUGGUGACUGGGGCCGGCUGCGGCAGCUGCGGCUCCUCCCGGGGUGUGAUGGUAACUAGGCCGGCGGCGGCGGUGGGGCUGCUCAGGGCUCUCUGGGGUCCGCUCUCCGCUCCCGCUACCGAUCG
Molecule: long non-coding RNA, 1562 nt
Filed under: Canis lupus familiaris (dog)
Lineage: Eukaryota; Metazoa; Chordata; Mammalia; Carnivora; Canidae
Description: lncRNA (ENSCAFG00845012265.1)
Source: RNAcentral